Molecule: non-coding RNA, 2323 nt
Organism: Elaeis guineensis (African oil palm)
Lineage: Eukaryota; Viridiplantae; Streptophyta; Magnoliopsida; Arecales; Arecaceae
Source: RefSeq, a predicted model, not a curated record
AAAACUUCCAUGACUUGAUAUUCAUGAUAAGAGGCUUUUCAAGUCUCCAUCCGCUAUUUUAUUUUCUUCCUCUUCGUUGGGCAAAGUCCAAGAGCUUCUCAUGCUAAUGAACCAAAAGGAUGGGACCGAAGCUCACGUCAAAGAGCCGCUGCCCACCAAAAGAAAAAAUAAAAAGAAGAAAGAAAGAAAAGAAAAGAAAGAGCAAGAGAAGAAGAAGAGGGGACAAUUGCAAGACAGCCCUCCGUUGCUUGAAGUCCCCCCCACCCAAAAAAAAAAAGGAAAAGCUUCGCCAUCUCCUCGAGGAUCAAGGAGACCAUGGAGGACCUCAGCGGGCAGAUCCCGUUGCCAGGAGCUGGCGGUGCCUCCUUCCUCUCUGGCAUGGGUGGCGGCGGUAGGCAGCAUCUCCUCCCUCUUCGGUGUGGGCGGCUAUGGGCAGACCAGCGCAGAGUACCAGAACCCAGGCCACCUCACCACCCUCGCCACGGUCGGUCCCCCUUGUUGAAGGGCAAGAAACCCCCGCUGCUUCCACCAUCGGCAGCUAGCUGCUAUAGAGGUGAGCAUGCAGGGAGUGGCGAUGCAUUUGCCGGCACUGGAGGAGAUGGCUGGUGGGCACCCACUGAAGACAAGAGGGGCGAAGGGGGUCUGGGCAUUUCCCAUCUGCCGUCGUUGACACCGGACUGGAUCCCGACCCCGGGCGGCUGAAGGAGGCAAAGCGUGGUACCUCCGCAUGGGCGUAACCAUCCUUCCUGGUCGGUGCCAAGCUCACUGGAUCCGAGCCUUCGAGCUCUCCCCGCUCGCGCUUCACCUCUGCCGGUGCCAAAGGAGGUCUCUGAUGGUGCCGAUCUCGCCCCGCUUUGGCCCUUCGAAGCCGACUUCUGCAUCCGCUUCUCCAAUCUUGCCGCCCUUGUGUAACAUCCCUGAAUAUUCUGGUAGAUCUGAAGAAGAGAAAUAGGAAAUGAAGGAGAAAUUUCAGAGGAGGGAGAUGCUCCGGGAGGGAAAUCUGAGAUCUGGGAAGGAGAAGGAGAAGAAGAAGGAUUGAGGAGGGAAGUUUAACUAUUCAAAUUUUUUCCCAUAUCAGAUCUCACAUCUCACGGUUACAAUCUAUUUAUAUAUAGUUACAGUGAUAAAUAAAAAUAAAAUAUUUGUAAAAUAAAAUACAAAUGAACCAGAUUUUAUCUGUGUUGCUGCUUAACAGAUCAUGCUAAUGGAUCUAUUUUUGACCGGAUUCUCUACCCAUUAUUCAUUAGGAUAAAUAAGGUGGAGAACCCUUUAGAUGCUGUCGAUCUCUUCUUUUUCUUUCCCAUCGCCUCCAGAAACCCUAGCCGCUUCUGGAUGAACUGUCCUAUGCUGGUCUUCGAUCUGAGCUCCUGAAGACCAAAGUCCUUUGUUCCUCACAAGCCUUCCGUCUGAUGCUCAGAUUCAAAGAUGAAUAUUUUUUUUAUUUCAUUUUUAUUUUUAUUUUCUCCUUUCUUUUAUUCUAUCAAAACUUCCUCUUUUUCUUUUGUUUCAGAUGUUACACCUUGAUAUGAUGGAGGAUCCCCGCUCCGAUCGGAUCUUCUGAGUUCCUCGUCUCCAAUCUUGCCGCCAUGGAGACUGAGGAGCUCGCCGACGAGGUUUCUACACUGAGUAUCUCGACAGCAAUCAAGAAAAUUCAAAGCCACCUGACAACGACGAAGAGGGCACGGCCAUUCCGAGGCCGAUCCAUGUUAUGCAGCGAGUGUCCUCUCGAUCAAGUCUUCUUGGGAGUACAGCUCCUCUCCUCCAAAACUCGCUUUAGAGAAUUUGAGCAGCAAAGGGAGUUUAGUGUGAAGAGAUUCGAGAACAUCAGGCUAGAUAAAUUAUGAUCUGGAUCAUCAGCACCUAAAUCCCACUUGACUAUAUACAAGGCUUCAACUAGCGCUGAUGUACUAGGAGCCAUAGACUAGGCCAUCGCUAAUGGAGUUGAUGCCCUUGCACCGUCGGUCAGUCAAGGCACGAAGAUGAAAUUUUUGGAUAGUGAAGUUACCAUCGGCUUGCAUGCGGCGGUUGAGAAUGGAAUCCCCACAAUUUGCCCCUGGGCAGUAGAGGUUGGGAUUGGUAGUCGCUCGAUUUUCACGCCUCAUGUGAAGCUCGGAAAUGGAAUAGAAAUCAAGGGAGAGUCCACCUUCUAACGGACCACAUUCAACUCCAUCCUACCGCCCCUCAUUUUCCCACUUUAUGAAGCCAGGGCAGCCGGAAUGAUCCUCAUCGGUCCUGUCUAUGGAGGGAGAGAUACCAAUACUAAACCCCAUGUACUUUCGGUAUCCUAUGUGAACUACGUCGAUGGUCAGAAGAUUCGCUGCUA